Molecule: ribosomal RNA, 400 nt
Filed under: uncultured bacterium
Lineage: Bacteria
Description: partial 16S ribosomal RNA
Rfam family: Bacterial small subunit ribosomal RNA
Source: RNAcentral
AAUAUUGCGCAAUGGGGGGAACCCUGACGCAGCGACGCCGCGUGAGCGAUGAAGGCCUUCGGGUCGUCAAGCUCUGUCCUCAGGGAAGAAGAAAGUGACGGUACCUGAGAAGAAAGCCCCGGCUAACUACGUGCCAGCAGCCGCGGUAAUACGUAGGGGGCGAGCGUUGUCCGGAAUUAUUGGGCGUAAAGGGUGCGUAGGCGGCUUCUUAAGUCAGGUGUGAAAUACCAGUGCUUAACACUGGAAUUGCAUUUGAAACUGUGUAGCUUGAGUGCAGGAGAGGAAAGUGGAAUUCCUAGUGUAGCGGUGAAAUGCGUAGAGAUUAGGAGGAACACCAGUGGCGAAGGCGACUUUCUGGACUGUAACUGACGCUGAGGUACGAAAGCGUGGGUAGCGAACA